AUCAAGUAAACAUGAUAAUACAUCAUAUUAAAACAAAUCAAUAAUUUCCCAAUCAAUCAUCAAAUCUUAGACUGUUAUCACUGAUAUAGUGCGUGUGUGCUCCACAACAAUGCUAACUGAUAUAAAAUCAAAUUUAAGACAUAAUAGAUAUCUUCGAAGGCAUCAUACAGUGCAAACUCACAAAAUUCACGAACAAGCUAAAUCCAACAAAAUUCAAACAUCCACCAAGUUCAAGAGUCCAAUCCGGGAUACUUAUGCUUUACUUUUCAUUACGGGGGCUUUUUGCUCUUUUCCCGUUUUAUUGUUGUUUUUUUUUACUUUUUUUUUAACCAUGACUGUGCAAUGUCUCAUUGCAUUAGGCUAACAGUGUCACCCCUUAGCGAGCUUUCGACCAACGACUCCCAGACCAUAUAAGACCUUAGGGCGCUAGGUUUUAAGAUACCCCUUCGGGCGUACUUACUCAAGUAACAAAGGCCCCGAAACAAAACUAGCCACGGUAAUUUUUUUUUUCUUUCUUUUUUUCUUUUUUUUUCUUUUUUGUUUUGUUUUUUUUAGCGAAGCUUAUAUAUCCCAAAUUUUCCCCCCAAACUUAAGUUUUUAUCUAAAUUUAGCCAUCUCCGCCUAUUCAUGUCUUUCAUUCCUUCAAACUAGUAUUAUCCUUAAAAAAUCCAUUAUGUAUCAAUUUAAACUUAAUCAGUUAACAUAGCUGUUAUUAACGUGCUAACCUUGAUUAUACCAGUUUCAAACAGGAAAAGAUUCAAUUCAUAACAAAAAAUCACAUCAAAGCCUUAAUAUUCAAUACUAUACUUAUCUACUUAAUUCCAGUCUCAUCAUUGGCCAAAAUAGACUUUUACUAUCUAACAGUUGGAAUCAUGCAAAUAUAAACUAAACGCAACAAACAAAGUAAACUAACUACUAUUUUUGCUAUUUU
RNAcentral lists this long non-coding RNA (931 nucleotides) under Panax ginseng (ginseng). RNAcentral describes it as "long non-coding RNA (PGIN_LNC002666)". The record is from RNAcentral. Lineage: Eukaryota; Viridiplantae; Streptophyta; Magnoliopsida; Apiales; Araliaceae.